GCCCCAGUAGCUCAGGGGAUAGAGCGUCGGUUUCCUAAACCGUGCGUCGCAGGUUCGAAUCCUGCCUGGGGCACCG
Molecule: transfer RNA, 76 nt
Filed under: Glycomyces paridis
Lineage: Bacteria; Bacillati; Actinomycetota; Actinomycetes; Glycomycetales; Glycomycetaceae
Description: tRNA-Arg
Rfam family: tRNA
About the family: Transfer RNA (tRNA) molecules are approximately 80 nucleotides in length. Their secondary structure includes four short double-helical elements and three loops (D, anti-codon, and T loops).
Source: RNAcentral